This 21-nucleotide microRNA is filed under the name Oryza sativa (Asian cultivated rice). Its description in RNAcentral is "osa-miR1846a-3p". The record is from miRBase by way of RNAcentral. Lineage: Eukaryota; Viridiplantae; Streptophyta; Magnoliopsida; Poales; Poaceae.
UGACCCCGUUCUCCUCGCCGG